UACGGGGGGUGCAAGCGUUAUUCGGAUUUAUUGGGCGUAAAGAGCGCGUAGGCGGUUUACCAAGUCAGAUGUGAAAGCCCUGGGCUCAACCUGGGAAGUGCAUUUGAAACUAGUAGACUUGAGUAUGGGAGAGGGGAGUGGAAUUCCUGGUGUAGAGGUGAAAUUCGUAGAUAUCAGGAGGAACACCGGUGGCGAAGGCGACUUCCUGGACCAAUACUGACGCUGAGGCGCGAAGGCGUGGGGAGCAAACAGG
This 253-nucleotide ribosomal RNA is filed under the name uncultured bacterium. Its description in RNAcentral is "partial 16S ribosomal RNA". It matches the Rfam family "Bacterial small subunit ribosomal RNA", at positions 524 to 776 of the family's 1533-position model. The record is from RNAcentral.